RNAcentral lists this ribosomal RNA (734 nucleotides) under uncultured bacterium. RNAcentral's name for it is "bacterial SSU rRNA". It matches the Rfam family "Bacterial small subunit ribosomal RNA", at positions 578 to 1310 of the family's 1533-position model. The record is from RNAcentral.
GUUUGUCGCGUUGUUCGUGAAAUCUCACGGCUUAACUGUGAGCGUGCGGGCGAUACGGGCAGACUUGAGUACUGCAGGGGAGACUGGAAUUCCUGGUGUAGCGGUGGAAUGCGCAGAUAUCAGGAGGAACACCGGUGGCGAAGGCGGGUCUCUGGGCAGUAACUGACGCUGAGGAGCGAAAGCGUGGGGAGCGAACAGGAUUAGGUACCCUGGUAGUCCACGCCGUAAACGGUGGGUACUAGGUGUGGGUUUCCUUCCUUGGGAUCCGUGCCGUAGCUAACGCAUUAAGUACCCCGCCUGGGGAGUACGGCCGCAAGGCUAAAACUCAAAGAAAUUGACGGGGGCCCGCACAAGCGGCGGAGCAUGUGGAUUAAUUCGAUGCAACGCGAAGAACCUUACCUGGGUUUGACAUGCACAGGACGCCGGCAGAGAUGUCGGUUCCCUUGUGGCCUGUGUGCAGGUGGUGCAUGGCUGUCGUCAGCUCGUGUCGUGAGAUGUUGGGUUAAGUCCCGCAACGAGCGCAACCCUUGUCUCAUGUUGCCAGCGGGUAAUGCCGGGGACUCGUGAGAGACUGCCGGGGUCAACUCGGAGGAAGGUGGGGAUGACGUCAAGUCAUCAUGCCCCUUAUGUCCAGGGCUUCACACAUGCUACAAUGGCCGGUACAAAGGGCUGCGAUGCCGCGAGGUUAAGCAAAUCCUUUUAAAGCCGGUCUCAGUUCGGAUCGGGGUCUGCAA